This 603-nucleotide ribosomal RNA is filed under the name uncultured archaeon. RNAcentral describes it as "bacterial SSU rRNA". It matches the Rfam family "Archaeal small subunit ribosomal RNA", at positions 220 to 823 of the family's 1478-position model. The record is from RNAcentral.
GCCUAUCAGGUAGUAGUGGGUGUAGCGUACCUACUAGCCUACGACGGGUACGGGUUGUGAGAGCAAGAGCCCGGAGAUGGAUUCUGAGACACGAAUCCAGGCCCUACGGGGUGCAGCAGGCGCGAAAACUUUACAAUGCCGGCAACGGCGAUAAGGGGACCUCGAGUGCCAGGUUACAAAUCUGGCUGUCGAGAUGCCUAAAAAGCAUUUCAUAGCAAGGGCCGGGCAAGACCGGUGCCAGCCGCCGCGGUAACACCGGCGGCUCGAGUGGUAACCGUUAUUAUUGGGUCUAAAGGGUCUGUAGCCGGCCGGAUAAGUCUCUUGAGAAAUCUGGCAGCUUAACUGUCAGGCUUUCAGGAGAUACUGUUCGGCUCGAGGCCGGGAGAGGUGAGAGGUACUUCAGGGGUAGGGGUGAAAUCUUGUAAUCCUUGAAGGACCACCAGUGGCGAAGGCGUCUCACCAGAACGGACCUGACGGCAAGGGACGAAAGCUAGGGGCACGAACCGGAUUAGAUACCCGGGUAGUCCUAGCCGUAAACGAUACUCGCUAGGUGUCGGCCACGGUGCGACCGUUGUCGGUGCCGUAGGGAAGCCGUGAAGCGAG